Molecule: small RNA, 74 nt
Filed under: Pontivivens insulae
Lineage: Bacteria; Pseudomonadati; Pseudomonadota; Alphaproteobacteria; Rhodobacterales; Paracoccaceae
Description: suhB
Source: RNAcentral
CACUGUUGACGCCUGAUAAUUUCUCCGGACAGGGAAAGGGCCGCUCUUCGGAGCGGCCCUUUUUUUUGUACGAA